RNAcentral lists this ribosomal RNA (253 nucleotides) under uncultured bacterium. RNAcentral's name for it is "partial 16S ribosomal RNA". It matches the Rfam family "Bacterial small subunit ribosomal RNA", at positions 524 to 776 of the family's 1533-position model. The record is from RNAcentral.
UACGUAGGGUGCAAGCGUUGUCCGGAAUUAUUGGGCGUAAAGAGCGUGUAGGCGGCCCGAUUAGUCCGCUGUGAAAGUCCAGGGCUCAACCCUGGAAUGCCGGUGGAUACUGUCGGGCUAGAGUCCGGAAGGGGCGAGUGGAAUUCCUGGUGUAGCGGUGAAAUGCGCAGAUAUCAGGAGGAACACCGGUGGCGAAGGCGGAUCUCUGGGCCUUACCUGACGCUGAGGCGCGAAAGCUAGGGGAGCGAACAGG